RNAcentral lists this ribosomal RNA (253 nucleotides) under uncultured bacterium. RNAcentral describes it as "partial 16S ribosomal RNA". It matches the Rfam family "Bacterial small subunit ribosomal RNA", at positions 524 to 776 of the family's 1533-position model. The record is from RNAcentral.
UACGUAGGGUGCGAGCGUUGUCCGGAAUUACUGGGCGUAAAGAGCUCGUAGGUGGUUUGUCGCGUUGUUCGUGAAAACUCACAGCUCAACUGUGGGCGUGCGGGCGAUACGGGCAGACUGGAGUACUGCAGGGGAGACUGGGAUUCCUGGUGUAGUGGUGGAAUGCGCAGAUAUCAGGAGGAACACCGGUGGCGAAGGCGGGUCUCUGGGCAGUAACUGACGCUGAGGAGCGAAAGCGUGGGGAGCGAACAGG